Molecule: ribosomal RNA, 497 nt
Filed under: uncultured bacterium
Lineage: Bacteria
Description: partial 16S ribosomal RNA
Rfam family: Bacterial small subunit ribosomal RNA
Source: RNAcentral
GAUGAACGCUGGCGGCGUGCCUAAUACAUGCAAGUUGAGCGAUGAAGAUUGGUGCUUGCACCAAUUUGAAGAGCAGCGAACGGGUGAGUAACGCGUGGGGAAUCUGCCUUUGAGCGGGGGACAACAUUUGGAAACGAAUGCUAAUACCGCAUAACAACUUUAAACAUAAGUUUUAAGUUUGAAAGAUGCAAUUGCAUCACUCAAAGAUGAUCCCGCGUUGUAUUAGCUAGUUGGUGAGGUAAAGGCUCACCAAGGCGAUGAUACAUAGCCGACCUGAGAGGGUGAUCGGCCACAUUGGGACUGAGACACGGCCCAAACUCCUACGGGAGGCAGCAGUAGGGAAUCUUCGGCAAUGGACGAAAGUCUGGCCGAGCAACGCCGCGUGAGGGAAGAAGGUUUUCGGAUCGUAAAACUCUGUUGGUAGAGAAGAACGUUGGUGAGAGUGGAAAGCUCAUCAAGUGACGGUAACUACCCAGAAAGGGACGGCUAACUACGUG